RNAcentral lists this ribosomal RNA (253 nucleotides) under uncultured bacterium. Its description in RNAcentral is "partial 16S ribosomal RNA". It matches the Rfam family "Bacterial small subunit ribosomal RNA", at positions 524 to 776 of the family's 1533-position model. The record is from RNAcentral.
UACAGAGGGGGCAAGCGUUGUUCGGAAUUACUGGGCGUAAAGGGCGCGUAGGCGGCCGCCUAAGUCAGACGUGAAAUCCCUCGGCUCAACCGGGGAACUGCGUCUGAUACUGGAUGGCUUGAAUUCGGGAGAGGGAUGCGGAAUUCCAGGUGUAGCGGUGAAAUGCGUAGAUAUCUGGAGGAACACCGGUGGCGAAGGCGGCAUCCUGGACCGAGAUUGACGCUGAGGCGCGAAAGCCAGGGGAGCAAACGGG